Molecule: ribosomal RNA, 253 nt
Filed under: uncultured bacterium
Lineage: Bacteria
Description: partial 16S ribosomal RNA
Rfam family: Bacterial small subunit ribosomal RNA
Source: RNAcentral
UACGAAGGGGGCUAGCGUUGUUCGGAUUUACUGGGCGUAAAGCGCACGUAGGCGGAUCGUUAAGUCAGGGGUGAAAUCCCGGGGCUCAACCCCGGAACUGCCUUUGAUACUGGGUAUCUGGAGGUCGAGAGAGGCGAGUGGAAUUCCGAGUGUAGAGGUGAAAUUCGUAGAUAUUCGGAGGAACACCAGUGGCGAAGGCGGCUCGCUGGCUCGAUACUGACGCUGAGGUGCGAAAGCGUGGGGAGCAAACAGG